This 1485-nucleotide long non-coding RNA is filed under the name Olea europaea (common olive). RNAcentral describes it as "long non-coding RNA (OEUR_LNC005913)". Lineage: Eukaryota; Viridiplantae; Streptophyta; Magnoliopsida; Lamiales; Oleaceae. The record is from RNAcentral.
AUGAUUUGGCGAGCUAAUGCAUUGGUUUGUCGAAAACAGGUAUUAGCGGAGGAAAUUUGAAUUUUUUUAUAGAUGAAGAAUUUUGUUUCCUUCUUCCUGUAUUAAAUUUCUACAUGAAUGAGUCCCGGUGUGGAGAUGGUUUCAUUUCUCAAGCCCAAUUUCAAUUGAUAACUAAUAACCCACCCACUUAACUAUUAAACCAAUUAACCCAAACCUAACUAAUAACCAAUAACCCAACCCCUUAAUUAAUAACCCAAUUAAUUGAAUUAAUAACCCAGCCAAACCCAUAAUUCAUUACAAUCGACCGAACGUUGUGGAAGACGGCGACUGGGUUGGUGGCUGGCUCGACGAGGGACUGGGUUAGAAGACGGUGACUGAGUUGGUGGACGGCGAUUACUGGAGCAGCCGGCAGUUUGCUGGCGGCUGUUGGCGGCGGCGAGGCUGAGUUCCGUUCCGGGCAGGUUGCUGGAAGAUGGCGGCUGAAUUUUUCUUGUUUUAGUUUUGCUGCAACAGAUUCUGGGAUUGUUGCUGUCGGUAAAUUUUCAGUUUGUGAGUUGGGAAGGUGGAAGCGGUGGAGGAGAAACUGAAUAAUUCAUUUAUAGGCGAAGGCGGCUAGUGAUUGUCUGGCUGGUUGUUCGGCUUCUGCUGGUCGUGGGGUGUGAUAUGAAAAAGCCUUUGUUUCAAUUGUUGGCUGUAUUACCGGUAAGGUGAUUGUCUGUCGAGGGCGGGGCUGGGGUCUGCAGCAAACUGAGUAUUGGCUGCAGUAACGGGUCCUGUAUUGAUGCUGUGUGAAUUGCUGUCCAGGGUUUGCUCUGAUACCAAUUUGAUGUAGUAUCAAUUAACAGAGAAAGAAGGAGGGGAGGGAAGAGGAGAACACGCUGUCUCGAAGCAAAUGUAUACCAAAGAGAAUUAAUUCAUCCUGUAAAAAUGUUGAAAAUUAUCUUUUGAUUAAUUUGUAAAUUGAAAAAUGAAAAUGGUAGCACUUUUGCAUGGUUCUCGAACGUUGUAUGCAAGAGAGAAUUUACUAUUCAGUAUUAAGAAUGACAUGACAUGACAUGACAUAUGGUGCUAUUGAGAAUUCUCGUGGCUGUUCCAUCUUUUUGGUUGCAUAGAACAACCAUCGUAUAUUGCUACUGCUGUCUCGAAGCAAAUGUAUACCAAAGAGAAUUAAUUCAUCCUGUAAAAAUGUUGAAAAUUAUCUUUUGAUUAAUUUGUAAAUUAAAAAAUGAAAAUGGUAGCACUUUUGCAUGGUUCUCGAACGUUGUAUGCAAGAGAGAAUUUACUAUUCAGUAUUAAGAAUGACAUGACAUAUGGUGCUAUUGAGAAUUCUCGUGGCUGUUCCAUCUUUUUGGUUGCAUAGAACAACCAUCGUAUAUUGCUACUCUCAUCUUUGUCAAGGACAUACACUACGGAAUUACUUAGUUUUAAUUCAAGGAUAUGGGAUUAGAUGAGUAUGUUUCAUCAAACUGCUUAUGUAAAUUAGAC